Molecule: long non-coding RNA, 1884 nt
Filed under: Lactuca sativa (garden lettuce)
Lineage: Eukaryota; Viridiplantae; Streptophyta; Magnoliopsida; Asterales; Asteraceae
Description: long non-coding RNA (LSAT_LNC007418)
Source: RNAcentral
ACUAAAAAAAUCCUACUAUAAACUCUUCAAAGUUUAUUGGAUCAUAUUUUUAGUUAUUAAAAGGUUUCAUAUCUUCCAUUAAACUCCAGCCAAAAUAUACAUUGAACUCUUCAAAGUUUAUUGAAUCAUACUUUUAGUUAUUAAAAUGUUUCAUUUUUCAAUUGAAAUCUAUAUUCAUUGAAUGUCAUACAAUCAUAAAAUUCAAUUCAUUGAAUCCAAAUUAUACAUGCCACAUCUUUAAACUUUCUCUACAAACUAUCCAUUAUGCAUACUCUUACCACUCUCCAUGUCAUGCCCAAAGUAAUGAGUUGGCUGCUUGCCACAGCAUACACACCAACUCCUACGGGAAUGUUGUAGAGGUGGUGUUGUAUUAACGGUGACAUAUCGAUGAGGAGAACCAUGGCCUCUGCAACACUAAAUCAAAAAGAAUUUCACUCAAUUCCCCUUCCCACGUUGGAGCUUUAAUAGUGAGGUGGGCGAAUGCUGUGAGGACUAUACCCACCACCUUUAAUAUGCACUAAGUUUGUAGAUAUAAAAAUGCUAAACGUUUCUAUAUCUACCUAUCUUGUGUUCCUUCCCAGCCUUCUAUUCAUUUAAUUAAAAACAGUUGUCUCCAUUUUAUUGUUUUACUAGUUUGAGAAUGUAAAAUGAUGACAAAGGUUUUAAUAUUCAUAAAAUUAAAAACAAUUGUCUCCAUUUUAUAGUUUUAUUAGAUUGGGAGUGCCAAAACUAAAAUGAUGACCAAGGUUUUAAUAAUAUUGAAUAGAAGGAUGGGAAAACACAAAAAUAAUAAGUUCUAAUUAAUCUAAAAAUAUACGUAAACAAGCUUCACAAAAACAAAGCAUAAUAAAAUUGUUGAACAUAUGUUUUUUUUAAAUGUUAAAAUUGUUCUUAAACAUAGUAAUUACAUUCCAAUAAAACCUUCAGAAAUAUAUGUAAAAUUUCAUAACAUUGAACACAUGAUUCUGAGAUGUAAAACAUGUUUUUUCAUAAACUAUAUGUGGAAAACUUAGAUAUUCCACUUGGUGAAAUAAUUAAAAAAGAUUAGGUACCAACAAAUAUUAGAAAAACAUGAUUAUCAGCAUCAAACAAAAGUAACACAAAAAUCUGAAAAGUUGGAUGUCUUAGAUAAAAAGCAAUAAAACCUGAUGAAGUUACCAAACAAAACUUCAACCCUACCAGCACUACAGAAUCAAAAAGCUACCAUCAGUGACUAGACAAUAUACAGCUCCAUCAUAAAGGUCAAUACCAACUCCAUGGCUGCAGAAGGUGAUGAAUGAAUGAAAGAAGCUAUCCUACUGUCUACUUAGAUCUCUGCCUCAUCUUUCGUCGCUUCCUCUUUAGUCUCCUCAUUCGCUUCUUCUUCCACUGCAACAAAAAGAUCCUGGAGUUAAAUGCUACUCAUCCAAAUCUACAACUCUAACAACAAAUCUAUACAGAGCUAUCAAAUUCCCCAAGCCUAAAUACUUGAAAAUCAGAUUGGUAAGAGUAUUAAAAAACUUAACAAAAACAUCCGGGAAGUGGAUGUCAGAAAACCAAAUGAAUCCAUGCAAACGCAGACAACUUUAGAAUGACUAAUCACAAAACAAGUAUUAUGUUGAUGCGAAGCUUCAGAUUCCUAGGGUUUUAGAUUGAUUAAACGAACGAUCGAAGCCAAUAACAAAACAAUUCGAGUAAUGAUGAGGAAGAAUUUUACCUUGGCACGCAUGGUUCAAGCUUUCUUGUGUUUUCGCUCUCUUUCUUGGGUUCUGAAUUUCUGAUCGGCCGAUAGACAGUGUCGAAUCAAUCUGGACGAAGAAAGGCAAGGCGUGUUGGCUUUUAUUUAUAGCUAGGGUUUGGGUUAGACCAUAGCAGUUGGGCUUUAGAUAUAUUUAAAUGGGCUUA